AUGUGGUUGCUCCACUAAUCAAAGUUAAAAUAGAUUUUAACCCGCGGUACACCGCGAGAACAAUUUAUUUUUCAAAGUUAAUAUAUAUAAAAGUUUGUAAAUUGUAUUUAU
Molecule: small RNA, 111 nt
Filed under: Arabidopsis thaliana (thale cress)
Lineage: Eukaryota; Viridiplantae; Streptophyta; Magnoliopsida; Brassicales; Brassicaceae
Description: ATSL107610
Source: RNAcentral